CGAGCUAGAGCUAUUUAGUAUUUCAUUUACAUUGAAAAGUUUUAUUUUAAUUAAUGUGGCUUGA
RNAcentral lists this transfer RNA (64 nucleotides) under Curculionoidea sp. 28 KM-2017. Its description in RNAcentral is "tRNA-Val". The record is from RNAcentral. Lineage: Eukaryota; Metazoa; Arthropoda; Insecta; Coleoptera.